Molecule: long non-coding RNA, 226 nt
Filed under: Nicotiana benthamiana
Lineage: Eukaryota; Viridiplantae; Streptophyta; Magnoliopsida; Solanales; Solanaceae
Description: long non-coding RNA (NBEN_LNC032022)
Source: RNAcentral
GAAUGAUUAUUAGGUUGAUAAAUUAAUUAAGUUGGCAAGUUAGUGGUUAGUGUCAGAAUCUUUAGUGAGCUGAUAAAUUUUGUGUCAAUAAACAUUCAUAGAAUUGUUUCUUUUAGGCACGCACUUAAUAUACUAUCGUGGUUGUGAACACGUUCACGUGACAUAAUUGUGAUUCAAAAAAUCCAAACUGAGGUAUGCGUUCGUGCAACGUCGGCCAAACUUUUUU